UACGUAGGUGGCAAGCGUUAUCCGGAAUUAUUGGGCGUAAAGCGCGCGUGGGCGGCGAGAUUAGUCUGAUGUGAAAGCCCCCGGCUCAACCGGGGGAGGUCAUUGGAAACUGUUUCGCUUGAGUGCAGAAGAGGAGAGUGGAAUUCCAUGUGUAGCGGUGAAAUGCGCAGAGAUAUGGAGGAACACCAGUGGCGAAGGCGGCUCUCUGGGCUGCAACUGACGCUGAUGUGCGAAAGCUUGGGGAUCAAACAGG
This 253-nucleotide ribosomal RNA is filed under the name uncultured bacterium. RNAcentral describes it as "partial 16S ribosomal RNA". It matches the Rfam family "Bacterial small subunit ribosomal RNA", at positions 524 to 776 of the family's 1533-position model. The record is from RNAcentral.